Molecule: ribosomal RNA, 1375 nt
Filed under: Campylobacter jejuni
Lineage: Bacteria; Pseudomonadati; Campylobacterota; Epsilonproteobacteria; Campylobacterales; Campylobacteraceae
Description: bacterial SSU rRNA
Rfam family: Bacterial small subunit ribosomal RNA
Source: RNAcentral
UGCAAGUCGAACGAUGAAGCUUUUAGCUUGCUAGAAGUGGAUUAGUGGCGCACGGGUGAGUAAGGUAUAGUUAAUCUGCCCUACACAAGAGGACAACAGUUGGAAACGACUGCUAAUACUCUAUACUCCUGCUUAACACAAGUUGAGUAGGGAAAGUUUUUCGGUGUAGGAUGAGACUAUAUAGUAUCAGCUAGUUGGUAAGGUAAUGGCUUACCAAGGCUAUGACGCUUAACUGGUCUGAGAGGAUGAUCAGUCACACUGGAACUGAGACACGGUCCAGACUCCUACGGGAGGCAGCAGUAGGGAAUAUUGCGCAAUGGGGGAAACCCUGACGCAGCAACGCCGCGUGGAGGAUGACACUUUUCGGAGCGUAAACUCCUUUUCUUAGGGAAGAAUUCUGACGGUACCUAAGGAAUAAGCACCGGCUAACUCCGUGCCAGCAGCCGCGGUAAUACGGAGGGUGCAAGCGUUACUCGGAAUCACUGGGCGUAAAGGGCGCGUAGGCGGAUUAUCAAGUCUCUUGUGAAAUCUAAUGGCUUAACCAUUAAACUGCUUGGGAAACUGAUAGUCUAGAGUGAGGGAGAGGCAGAUGGAAUUGGUGGUGUAGGGGUAAAAUCCGUAGAUAUCACCAAGAAUACCCAUUGCGAAGGCGAUCUGCUGGAACUCAACUGACGCUAAGGCGCGAAAGCGUGGGGAGCAAACAGGAUUAGAUACCCUGGUAGUCCACGCCCUAAACGAUGUACACUAGUUGUUGGGGUGCUAGUCAUCUCAGUAAUGCAGCUAACGCAUUAAGUGUACCGCCUGGGGAGUACGGUCGCAAGAUUAAAACUCAAAGGAAUAGACGGGGACCCGCACAAGCGGUGGAGCAUGUGGUUUAAUUCGAAGAUACGCGAAGAACCUUACCUGGGCUUGAUAUCCUAAGAACCUUUUAGAGAUAAGAGGGUGCUAGCUUGCUAGAACUUAGAGACAGGUGCUGCACGGCUGUCGUCAGCUCGUGUCGUGAGAUGUUGGGUUAAGUCCCGCAACGAGCGCAACCCACGUAUUUAGUUGCUAACGGUUCGGCCGAGCACUCUAAAUAGACUGCCUUCGUAAGGAGGAGGAAGGUGUGGACGACGUCAAGUCAUCAUGGCCCUUAUGCCCAGGGCGACACACGUGCUACAAUGGCAUAUACAAUGAGACGCAAUACCGCGAGGUGGAGCAAAUCUAUAAAAUAUGUCCCAGUUCGGAUUGUUCUCUGCAACUCGAGAGCAUGAAGCCGGAAUCGCUAGUAAUCGUAGAUCAGCCAUGCUACGGUGAAUACGUUCCCGGGUCUUGUACUCACCGCCCGUCACACCAUGGGAGUUGAUUUCACUCGAAGCCGGAAUACUAAACUAGU